This 127-nucleotide ribosomal RNA is filed under the name uncultured Chitinophaga sp. Its description in RNAcentral is "partial 16S ribosomal RNA". It matches the Rfam family "Bacterial small subunit ribosomal RNA", at positions 396 to 520 of the family's 1533-position model. The record is from RNAcentral. Lineage: Bacteria; Pseudomonadati; Bacteroidota; Chitinophagia; Chitinophagales; Chitinophagaceae.
GCCGCGUGGAGGAUGAAGGCCCUCUGGGUUGUAAACUUCUUUUAUUUGGGACGAAACACUUUCUUUCUAGAGAGCUUGACGGUACCAGAUGAAUAAGCACCGGCUAACUCCGUGCCAGCAGCCGCGG